GGGUUGUGAGGUUAAGCGACUAAGCGUACACGGUGGAUGCCCUGGCAGUCAGAGGCGAUGAAGGACGUGCUAAUCUGCGAUAAGCGUCGGUAAGGUGAUAUGAACCGUUAUAACCGGCGAUUUCCGAAUGGGGAAACCCAGUGUGAUUCGUCACACUAUCAUUAACUGAAUCCAUAGGUUAAUGAGGCGAACCGGGGGAACUGAAACAUCUAAGUACCCCGAGGAAAAGAAAUCAACCGAGAUUCCCCCAGUAGCGGCGAGCGAACGGGGAGCAGCCCAGAGCCUGAAUCAGUGUGUGUGUUAGUGGAAGCGUCUGGAAAGGCGCGCGAUACAGGGUGACAGCCCCGUACACAAAAAUGCACAUGCUGUGAGCUCGAUGAGUAGGGCGGGACACGUGGUAUCCUGUCUGAAUAUGGGGGGACCAUCCUCCAAGGCUAAAUACUCCUGACUGACCGAUAGUGAACCAGUACCGUGAGGGAAAGGCGAAAAGAACCCCGGCGAGGGGAGUGAAAAAGAACCUGAAACCGUGUACGUACAAGCAGUGGGAGCACAGAGCAAUCUGUGUGACUGCGUACCUUUUGUAUAAUGGGUCAGCGACUUAUAUUCUGUAGCAAGGUUAACCGAAUAGGGGAGCCGAAGGGAAACCGAGUCUUAACUGGGCGUUAAGUUGCAGGGUAUAGACCCGAAACCCGGUGAUCUAGCCAUGGGCAGGUUGAAGGUUGGGUAACACUAACUGGAGGACCGAACCGACUAAUGUUGAAAAAUUAGCGGAUGACUUGUGGCUGGGGGUGAAAGGCCAAUCAAACCGGGAGAUAGCUGGUUCUCCCCGAAAGCUAUUUAGGUAGCGCCUCGUGAAUUCAUCUCCGGGGGUAGAGCACUGUUUCGGCAAGGGGGUCAUCCCGACUUACCAACCCGAUGCAAACUGCGAAUACCGGAGAAUGUUAUCACGGGAGACACACGGCGGGUGCUAACGUCCGUCGUGAAGAGGGAAACAACCCAGACCGCCAGCUAAGGUCCCAAAGUCAUGGUUAAGUGGGAAACGAUGUGGGAAGGCCCAGACAGCCAGGAUGUUGGCUUAGAAGCAGCCAUCAUUUAAAGAAAGCGUAAUAGCUCACUGGUCGAGUCGGCCUGCGCGGAAGAUGUAACGGGGCUAAACCAUGCACCGAAGCUGCGGCAGCGACACUGUGUGUUGUUGGGUAGGGGAGCGUUCUGUAAGCCUGCGAAGGUGUGCUGUGAGGCAUGCUGGAGGUAUCAGAAGUGCGAAUGCUGACAUAAGUAACGAUAAAGCGGGUGAAAAGCCCGCUCGCCGGAAGACCAAGGGUUCCUGUCCAACGUUAAUCGGGGCAGGGUGAGUCGACCCCUAAGGCGAGGCCGAAAGGCGUAGUCGAUGGGAAACAGGUUAAUAUUCCUGUACUUGGUGUUACUGCGAAGGGGGGACGGAGAAGGCUAUGUUGGCCGGGCGACGGUUGUCCCGGUUUAAGCGUGUAGGCUGGUUUUCCAGGCAAAUCCGGAAAAUCAAGGCUGAGGCGUGAUGACGAGGCACUACGGUGCUGAAGCAACAAAUGCCCUGCUUCCAGGAAAAGCCUCUAAGCAUCAGGUAACAUCAAAUCGUACCCCAAACCGACACAGGUGGUCAGGUAGAGAAUACCAAGGCGCUUGAGAGAACUCGGGUGAAGGAACUAGGCAAAAUGGUGCCGUAACUUCGGGAGAAGGCACGCUGAUAUGUAGGUGAAGUCCCUCGCGGAUGGAGCUGAAAUCAGUCGAAGAUACCAGCUGGCUGCAACUGUUUAUUAAAAACACAGCACUGUGCAAACACGAAAGUGGACGUAUACGGUGUGACGCCUGCCCGGUGCCGGAAGGUUAAUUGAUGGGGUUAGCGCAAGCGAAGCUCUUGAUCGAAGCCCCGGUAAACGGCGGCCGUAACUAUAACGGUCCUAAGGUAGCGAAAUUCCUUGUCGGGUAAGUUCCGACCUGCACGAAUGGCGUAAUGAUGGCCAGGCUGUCUCCACCCGAGACUCAGUGAAAUUGAACUCGCUGUGAAGAUGCAGUGUACCCGCGGCAAGACGGAAAGACCCCGUGAACCUUUACUAUAGCUUGACACUGAACAUUGAGCCUUGAUGUGUAGGAUAGGUGGGAGGCUUUGAAGUGUGGACGCCAGUCUGCAUGGAGCCGACCUUGAAAUACCACCCUUUAAUGUUUGAUGUUCUAACGUUGACCCGUGAUCCGGGUUGCGGACAGUGUCUGGUGGGUAGUUUGACUGGGGCGGUCUCCUCCUAAAGAGUAACGGAGGAGCACGAAGGUUGGCUAAUCCUGGUCGGACAUCAGGAGGUUAGUGCAAUGGCAUAAGCCAGCUUGACUGCGAGCGUGACGGCGCGAGCAGGUGCGAAAGCAGGUCAUAGUGAUCCGGUGGUUCUGAAUGGAAGGGCCAUCGCUCAACGGAUAAAAGGUACUCCGGGGAUAACAGGCUGAUACCGCCCAAGAGUUCAUAUCGACGGCGGUGUUUGGCACCUCGAUGUCGGCUCAUCACAUCCUGGGGCUGAAGUAGGUCCCAAGGGUAUGGCUGUUCGCCAUUUAAAGUGGUACGCGAGCUGGGUUUAGAACGUCGUGAGACAGUUCGGUCCCUAUCUGCCGUGGGCGCUGGAGAACUGAGGGGGGCUGCUCCUAGUACGAGAGGACCGGAGUGGACGCAUCACUGGUGUUCGGGUUGUCAUGCCAAUGGCACUGCCCGGUAGCUAAAUGCGGAAGAGAUAAGUGCUGAAAGCAUCUAAGCACGAAACUUGCCCCGAGAUGAGUUCUCCCUGACUCCUUGAGAGUCCUGAAGGAACGUUGAAGACGACGACGUUGAUAGGCCGGGUGUGUAAGCGCAGCGAUGCGUUGAGCUAACCGGUACUAAUGAACCGUGAGGCUUAACCUUACAACGCCGAAGGUGUUU
This 2932-nucleotide ribosomal RNA is filed under the name Escherichia coli. RNAcentral's name for it is "23S ribosomal RNA". It matches the Rfam family "Bacterial large subunit ribosomal RNA". The record is from RNAcentral. Lineage: Bacteria; Pseudomonadati; Pseudomonadota; Gammaproteobacteria; Enterobacterales; Enterobacteriaceae.